AAAACACCCAUAACUAUGACCCUCAUUCGGAAAUAGACACCUGCACCGCGAGGGAAAAAGGCGCACGAAAGUGGCAGGCAGAUGAAGACAAAACACGGCAUAAUACUUUUACGUUUUGCAAUCUACAAAGAACCAGCUGAUUCUUCAGCAGAGCAUCCCCUGUUGCUUCUCCUUGCUCCCCAGUCCCUGAGCUCCUGCUGCUGCACCCACAGGCCCAGAGAGGAGGACAGCUCCGAGGCAGAUGAGGGAUGGGUCCCAGGACGGUCCAUCGGCGGUGGAGCUGGCCAUCCUGGUGUCCCUGAAGAGGCCACGCCAGUCUCCAAUGGAGCAUUUCCUCCUCAGCCUUGUUCCUGCUCUGGAGAGCAGCUGGGUCCUUUU
Molecule: long non-coding RNA, 378 nt
Organism: Oreochromis aureus
Lineage: Eukaryota; Metazoa; Chordata; Actinopteri; Cichliformes; Cichlidae
Source: Ensembl